GAUGAACGCUAGCGGCAGGCCUAACACAUGCAAGUCGAGGGGCAUCAUGGCGUAGCAAUACGCUGAUGGCGACCGGCGCACGGGUGCGUAACGCGUAUGGAACCUACCCACCGCAGGGGGAUAACCCGCCGAAAGGCGGACUAAUACCCCAUGGUUCCCCGACCCUGCCUGGGGUUGGGGGUAAAGCCUACGGGCGGCGGUGGAUGGCCCUGCGUGCCAUUAGCUGGCUGGUGGGGUAACGGCCCACCAGGGCGACGAUGGCUAGGGGGUCUGAGAGGACGAUCCCCCACACUGGUACUGAGACACGGACCAGACUCCUACGGGAGGCAGCAGUGAGGAAUAUUGGUCAAUGGGCGAAGCCUGAACCAGCCAUGCCGCGUGCAGGAUGACGGCCCUACGGGUUGUAAACUGCUUUUAUAUGGGAGCAAUAAGGUCUACGUGUAGACUGAUGAGAGUACCAUAUGAAUAAGCAUCGGCUAACUCCGUGCCAGCAGCCGAC
This 499-nucleotide ribosomal RNA is filed under the name uncultured bacterium. RNAcentral's name for it is "bacterial SSU rRNA". It matches the Rfam family "Bacterial small subunit ribosomal RNA", at positions 28 to 518 of the family's 1533-position model. The record is from RNAcentral.